Molecule: non-coding RNA, 1152 nt
Filed under: Pan troglodytes (chimpanzee)
Lineage: Eukaryota; Metazoa; Chordata; Mammalia; Primates; Hominidae
Source: RNAcentral
GGCGUUCGAGGUUCGUUUACGCGCCGCUCCGCCGUGCAGGUGGUGGCGAAGCGCUCCUCCGAAAGGUUUCGGAAGCCGGUGGUAGCUCUGAAGAUAACGCUGCGUUAGGGCAUACUGCGGCGGAGGAUGGAACUCCGAUUGAAAGCAGUUGCUGGAGUGGAGCACGAAUUUCAAAAGUUGGAGCUGCAUGUUGAAGUGUGAGGCGUGAAAGGAUAUGUCUGAUAUUUGCUUUAAAAUGCUCCAGCAAAGAAAUUAAGGGAUGGAUGAAGCAAAAGAGCCAGGUAUGGUGGCUCAUGCCUCUAAUCCCAGCACUUUGGGAGGCCGAAGCAGGCAGAUCACCUGAGGUCAGGAGUUUGAGACCAUCCUGACCAACAUGGUGAAACUCGUCUCUACUACAAACAUAAAAAAAUUAGCUGGGUGUGGUACCACACACCUGUAAUCCCAGCUACUCCUCUGGAGGCUCAGACAGGAGAACUGCUUGAACCGGGAGGCGGAGGUUGCAGUGAGCUGAGAUCGCACCACUCCAUUCCAGCCUGGGCAACAGAGUGAGACUCCAUCUCAUAUAAAAAAAAAAAAGUAAAGAAAAAAAAGAAAAUGUCUUUAUUUCAUUUUCUUUCCUAAAGAAUAUAUUUGCUGGAUAAAGGAUUCUGUGUUGACAGUUUUGUUGCUUUUUAAAAGCACUUUAUAAAUGUUGCUCCAUGGUUUCUGAUGAGAAAUCUGCCAUCACUGAAAUCUUUGGUUCUCCUAUAUACAAAGUGUUAUUUUCUUCCAGUUGCUUUCAAAGUAUUUUCUUUACAGUUGGUUUCAUCACUUUGAUUAUGAUGUGCCUGGGUGUGGUUUUCCUUUUUGGGAUUUGCUGUGCCAGCAGACCGGCUUUAAAUAGAAUGCUAUGUAAAUGUACGUGAAUAUUUGUUUUUUGCCAGAUGUUUGGAAGUUUUUAGCUAUUAUUUCUUCAGAUAUUUUUUUCUUCCAAUUGUUCUUUCUGGGCUCCUAAGACAUGAAUAUUAGACUGUUUCAUAUUGUCUCACAGAUCCCCAAAGGUCUUCUCAUUUUUUUCACUUUUUUCUCUGUCAUUCAGACUAGAUAAUUUCUGCUCAUGUAUCUUCAAAUUUACUGACUCUUCCCUCAGUCAUCUUCAUUCUGUUGAGACCU